UGGGGGAUAUUGGUCAAUGGGGACAACCCUGAACCAGCGACGCCGCGUGAGGGAAGAAGGUCUUCGGAUUGUAAACCUCUGUCUUCGGUGACGAUAAUGACGGUAGCCGAGGAGGAAGCCACGGCUAACUACGUGCCAGCAGCCGCGGUAAUACGUAGGUGGCAAGCGUUGUCCGGAAUUACUGGGUGUAAAGGGAGCGUAGGCGGGGACGCAAGUUGAAUGUCAAAUCCAUCGGCUCAACCGGUGAUCGCGUUCAAAACUGUGUCUCUUGGGUGGAGUAGAGGCAGGCGGAAUUCCCAGUGUAGCGGUGAAAUGCGUAGAUAUUGGGAGGAACACCAGUGGCGAAGGCGGCCUGCUGGGCUCUAACUGACGCUGAGGUUCGAAAGUGUGGGUAGC
RNAcentral lists this ribosomal RNA (396 nucleotides) under uncultured Acetanaerobacterium sp. RNAcentral describes it as "bacterial SSU rRNA". It matches the Rfam family "Bacterial small subunit ribosomal RNA", at positions 355 to 769 of the family's 1533-position model. Lineage: Bacteria; Bacillati; Bacillota; Clostridia; Eubacteriales; Oscillospiraceae. The record is from RNAcentral.